This 65-nucleotide transfer RNA is filed under the name marine eukaryotic metagenome. It matches the Rfam family "tRNA", at positions 5 to 66 of the family's 71-position model. From Rfam's summary of the family: Transfer RNA (tRNA) molecules are approximately 80 nucleotides in length. Their secondary structure includes four short double-helical elements and three loops (D, anti-codon, and T loops). Further hydrogen bonds mediate the characteristic L-shaped molecular structure. tRNAs have two regions of fundamental functional importance: the anti-codon, which is responsible for specific mRNA codon recognition, and the 3' end, to which the tRNAs corresponding amino acid is attached (by aminoacyl-tRNA synthetases). tRNAs cope with the degeneracy of the genetic code in two manners: having more than one tRNA (with a specific anti-codon) for a particular amino acid; and 'wobble' base-pairing, i.e. permitting non-standard base-pairing at the 3rd anti-codon position. The record is from RNAcentral.
CCGUAGCUCAGUAGGAUAGAGCGACGGAUUCCUAAUCCGUAGGUCACAGGUUCGAAUCCUGUCGG